AUGCAGCCGCCUGAGGCACGAGGAGGGGGCCCCGAGCCAGCCGCAAGGCACGACCAAGGCACCCACAAAUCCCACUGGACUAGGAGGGCAUUGGCCACGGGGGAGGUGUGGUGCUCGCGCCAGGUCGAGCUCGGUGUGGGGGAGGAGGGGGAGCACGCAAACACGUUAGAUCCGCCACGCUGCCACCAUCCUGGGUCCGGCACGACUUCGUCGGCCGACCCUCUGGUGGCGGCGAUGCAGGGAAGGGCGACGGGGGAUGGCUUUGGGCGGCGGACAGGGUUCCACGCGACACGUGCACCACUCUUGUUUGAAAGGACAAAAUUAUUGUACUGGUGUCAAGAGAUGGUUGAUGCGAACAUGAAACUGGUGUGCUCACCCAUGCUUGUAUAUGCUUCAAAUAUGCAUCUUUUGUCCGAAAAAGGAACACAACCUACAAAGCGACUGUCAUACCUGGAGUGUACGUCCGUGACCGUUGACGGCGACUUCACUCGUGUGGGUCUCCUUGUGAACUUGCCUUUCACUUUCCCCUCAGCUUCCUCCUCCAUUCCUCUUUGCUGUGCCGGUGCGACGGCGAUCGAAGUAGCCGACACGCGGCGCGCGGCGGCGGCGGUUUUCCUGACCGUCUUCGGACUACCGGAAGCAGCACCACCGCGUUUGGCUUGCGUCGAUCUAGCCACACCCGGCUCUCUACUUCGUUUGAGAGUCAGAUCGGUUUACCACUUUACCCCGCCUGCCCUCUCCUCCUCCGGCGGCGCCGCCGCCUGGAGUGGGAAUGGGAGGGGAGCUCGGGCCGAUCUUGUAUAUCGGUUUAGGUUUGUACUUGCGUUAGUGGCGCAUGACCUCGUGCCGUUAGAGGGAGCUUCUCACCGGAGCAGGCGAGCUGCGUCCAGUGGCCGGCCUUCUCCUCCUCAUACUGCCUCGUCGAUAAGCUUGGAACCCAAAGGUGUCUACAUCAUCCAGUCAAAUCCAGUCGAUCGCAACCGCAGUUCCCUCUUUCCCUUCCAUCCAUCUCGAGUCGCCAAUCAGUUGCCUGGAUCUACUAUCUACAUACUGGUGACUCGGAAAGGGAUAGCAGCGUGGCCUCACCGUUCACCGUACCUCGAGUUCUACCUCCACUGGGCUGGAUCUUCUAUUUCGUAUCUGCGCUCCCGGUGGUCUGCAACACAGGAGGAAAGUAUUCAUCAUGAAGUAUUGCACUUGCAGAGUGGCUUACAACGUCUUAGGGAUACUCUUCCGGCAAUGUACAGUCUUAUUGACCAAGCAGAGUGGAGGAUCCACGAAGGCCGUGUCGCGGAGCUCCUUCCCAACCUCAAAGAUGCAGUGAAUGAUGCUGAUGAUCUUCUUGAUGAGUUCAGAUGGCAUGAGCUAAAGAUGGAGGUAGAGGGCAAUGCAAGUCAUUCUGCUUUUAUUGACUUCUACAAGACUACCGUACAAGGCAGCUUCAACAAAGAACUGGAGGAGGUGAUGGGAUUUCUCGGUGUACCUCAAAGUAAAGGAAGGGCCUGUUCAAAACGCAAGAGAGCAAGUAGCGCAGUCAAUGCAUCAACAAGCACAUCAGCAUCAAACCAUCGUUGGAAAGACUUCUAUGAUUCUUUAAAAAAUGUGGUACAGGGAAGUAUGAUGUUGGUCACAACAAGAUUUCCAGAUGUUGCUGAUAGAAGAUGCUUCUCGUUCUGUGCUCUAUACGCCAAAGAUCACAAAUUUGAAAAGGGCCGUUUAGCUGAAAUUUGGGUAGCAGAAGGCUUUGUGGAGCCUCAAGGCGACAUUCCACUUGAAGAUAUUGGCCAUCAGUACUUUGAGGACCUUGUAAAUAGGUCCUUCUUUCAAAAUGUUAGCGGUACAUACAUAAUCCAUGACUUGCUGCAUGACAUGGCAAAGCUAGUGUCAGAUCACGACUGCUUCACCAUAAGAAAUAUGAGGGACUUCCAAAUGGUUCCCCAGAAUGUUCGUCAUCUGUACAUACUCCCAAGCAGAGACUUGAGCACUCCCAACUUGUUGAGCCUAAGCAAGCACACAAAGCUGCAUACGCUAAUUUGUGACAUGUCUUUUGGGAAUGAAGCUGCAGUUAUAAUGGACUGUUGGUGUAGUGAGCUUCAGCGUUUGCGUGUGCUUUUUUGGGCCUCUUCAAAUGAGUUGCCAGACAGUAUUGCCAACUUGAAGCAUCUUCGGCAUCUUGAAAUCUCCAAGGCUUGUGCUUUCAAGAGCUUUUCUUCAGCAUUUUGCUCCCUCUAUAAUCUGCAGAGAUUAUACGCGAAGGAGUGCAAGUUAGAAAGCUUGCCCUGUGACUUUAGGCGCACUCUGAAUAUCGAUGCAACCAAUCGGUUCGAAAUGAAGUUGAUAAAGAAUUUGAACCAAUUUGAUGGACAUAUGAACAUAUGCAAUCUUGGUUCUGUGAGCAAUUGUUAUCCUACAGAAUUUAAACUGAAGGAUAAGAAGUAUCUACGCAGACUGGAACUGACAUGGUCUUUGGCGUCCUCUCCUGAGGACAAAGGAGUGCUUCAAGCCCUACAGUCUCCCACCUGUCUGGAAUCUCUGUUCCUCAAAGGUUAUCCAGAUGUGUCUCUUCCAAAUUGGUUUCAGCAGCAUAGAAACCUAAGUGAGAUGCCAGCUGUGCCAGUUGACAACAAUAAUGAUGAGAUUGGUACUUUGCCGUCCUUGGAAGAGCUAGCCAUUCUUUACUGUCGAAAUCUACGAAGCGUCGAACAACUUCUGUGUCCAGCUUAUGUGCCUGCCAUCAAGAGAUUAAGGAUUGCUGGUUGCCACCAGUUAAAAUCAUUACGAACUGUAACGUUAGGUGGUUUUCAUUCCCUUGAAAGAUUAGAAGUGUGUGGUUGUCCAAAUAUCCGCUCGAGAAGUUUGGUGGCGCACUCCCUCAAGACACUCAAACUGGAAAGUUCUGGGAAUCUCACAAACAAUAUGCAGUGCUGCUCCCUCAUCGAGUUCUAUUUAUCAAGUGACUAUGUCACGACCAUCCAUCCCCAAAUGUGGAAUCUUCCAGCUCUACAAAAGUUGCACAUUGCAAACUGCAGAUCUCUUACAUCUGUUGGACAAGGACAACCACCAAUUAGGGCAUUCAAAUCCCUUACAUUCCUAAUCAUUGACAAUUGUGAGAACCUGGCAACCCUUGAUGGUCUUCUAACAGAACUAUGUUUGCCUGCCAUUCGAAAGAUUGAUGUUAGGAAUUGUGGCAAGUUACAGUUCCUUUUUGGUGAAAGGCCUGGGAGUUUUCCUUCCCUUGAAGAUCUGUUGCUUCAUGAUUGCCCUAGUCUCAAAUGGCCAAGGGAAUUAGUGUUACCAUCAUCCCUAAAAAAGCUCCACUUAGUUCGAUGUGGGGAUAUUUCCUCCUGGUUUUCAAGCUGCCUACAAAACCUCAAAUCUUUGGCUGAACUGGCUUUGAUUGGAUGUCCAAGUAUAACAUCCAUUCCACUCAGCGUCUACAGAAGUGAUCUCGCUUCGCUUGAUGCAUUGUAUAUCUCGGGUUGUCCAGACCUCGUGUCAAUUGGCGGAGCAAAGGCAGUUGCAAAAAUAAAGUAUGUGGGCAUUUACGAUUGCCCAGAGAUGGAGGAUCCUAAGCAGCCUUGUGUUUUGCAGGGAGCUCUUGCGCUGUGUUGGCUCCUUUCUGCUCUUUUUUGCCUUGCUACCAUCAACCGUGUGCAGCUUAGAGUUGAUCGGAGAAAGAGGCAGGGUCAGCUGGGCAGAGGAGAUCGGCCGUAA
Molecule: ribosomal RNA, 3714 nt
Filed under: Triticum aestivum (bread wheat)
Lineage: Eukaryota; Viridiplantae; Streptophyta; Magnoliopsida; Poales; Poaceae
Description: partial small subunit ribosomal RNA
Source: RNAcentral